Non-coding RNA from Brachypodium distachyon (stiff brome), 126 nucleotides. The record is from Rfam. NCBI's taxonomy places the organism in Eukaryota, Viridiplantae, Streptophyta, Magnoliopsida, Poales, Poaceae.
AACGUACUUCCUCCGUUCCAUAAUUCUUGUCGAAAUAUUACAUGUAUCUAGACGCAUUUUAGGAAUAGAUACAUCCAUUUUUGGGCAAAUUUGAGACAAGAAUUAUGAAACGGGGGGGAGUAGUUU